ACCUCAACUAAUCACUAAAAAGAUACAAACUAACGGACUUGGUUUGAAGACAAGAACUAGCUAUAUGCCAUCUGGGUUUUACAUAGGUUCUAGGGAUUUGAACUCAAGUCCUUAUGAUUGGUUUUUACCACACCGAGCCAUCUCCCCAGUCCUAAAAUCAUGUGUUAUAUAGUUGCAUGUACAUUCUAUUGGGCCUGUUCUUGCUCAUGAGUGCCAAGAAUGGGAACAGAGCUACCACCCACCUGCAGCUUGCCUGUCCACUGAUCAUCUUGUUUCCUCCAGACUUGGGAAUUGUCCCCACCAAUCAGCACUACAACUGGCAGGUGGCAUGCAGUGGCAGAAGGGAGGACCCAGAAGGAACCUUUCCAGAACAGCCUCAGCAAUAAGGAGACUGAAAUGGGAUUGCAAAACAGCUUGCAAAAUGGAAAUCCCAGCCAGCAUGGUGGCAGGCAUGGUAAAAUCUCAUGGUGUCAAUAUGACCAUAUGUCCUCUGGUCAUCACUUAAACAUUUCAUCAAUAAAGAAAGGGGAGGAUGUAGCAGCCCCAGUCACGGA
Mesocricetus auratus (golden hamster) is the source of this 554-nucleotide long non-coding RNA. RefSeq lists it as uncharacterized. The transcript has 2 exons. NCBI's taxonomy places the organism in Eukaryota, Metazoa, Chordata, Mammalia, Rodentia, Cricetidae. The record is from RefSeq and is a predicted model, not a curated record.